RNAcentral lists this ribosomal RNA (1471 nucleotides) under metagenome. RNAcentral's name for it is "bacterial LSU rRNA". It matches the Rfam family "Bacterial large subunit ribosomal RNA", at positions 1430 to 2925 of the family's 2925-position model. The record is from RNAcentral.
UUGGAGAUUCCUGUACUGCAUAUGGUCAGAACUGUGGGGACACGGGGUGUUAACGAAGCCGGGAAAGGAAAGACCGGUCCAAGCACAGGAGGCGUUGCGCAGGCAAAUCCGCGCAAUAAGCCAAAGGUGUGACGGGGAGCGAAAUUAUAGUAGCGAAGUCCGGAUACAUGCUGUCAAGAAAAGCCGCUAUUGCGCCAUAUGUACCCGUACCGUAAACCGACACAGGUGGAUGAGGAGAGAAUCCUAAGGCCGGCGGGAGAAGUGUUGUUAAGGAACUCGGCAAAAUGGCCCCGUAACUUCGGGAGAAGGGGCGCCCAGAAAUGGGCCGCAGAGAAAAGGCUCAAGCAACUGUUUAGCAAAAACACAGGUCUAUGCGAAACCGAAAGGUGAGGUAUAUGGGCUGACGCCUGCCCGGUGCUGGAAGGUUAAGGGGAGAGGUUAGCCGCAAGGCGAAGCUUUGAACUUAAGCCCCAGUAAACGGCGGCCGUAACAAUAACGGUCCUAAGGUAGCGAAAUUCCUUGUCGGGUAAGUUCCGACCCGCACGAAAGGCGUAAUGAUUUGAGCACUGUCUCGACAACACACCCGGUGAAAUUGAAAUACCAGUGAAGAUGCUGGUUACCUGCGCCAGGACGGAAAGACCCCAUGAGCUUUACUCUAGUUUGAUACUGGGACCCGGUAUGACAUGUACAGGAUAGGUGGGAGGCAGAGAAUUAAUGACGCCAGUCAUUAAGGAGCCGCUGUUGGGAUACCACCCUUGUGAUGCCAGGUUUCUAACGAGCUGCCGUGAACCGGCAGGCGGACAAUGUCAGGCGGGGAGUUUGACUGGGGCGGUCGCCUCCGAAAGGGUAUCGGAGGCGCUCAAAGGUUCCCUCAGAAUGGUUGGAAACCAUUCGGAGAGUGCAAAGGCAGAAGGGAGCCUGACUGCGACACCGACGGGUGGAGCAGGUACGAAAGUAGGACUUAGUGAUCCGGUGGUAUAAAGUGGGAUUGCCAUCGCUCAACGGAUAAAAGCUACCCUGGGAUAACAGGCUUAUCACUCCCAAGAGUUCACAUCGACGGAGUGGUUUGGCACCUCGAUGUCGGCUCAUCGCAUCCUGGGGCUGGAGUAGGUCCCAAGGGUUGGGCUGUUCGCCCAUUAAAGCGGUACGCGAGCUGGGUUCAGAACGUCGUGAGACAGUUCGGUCCCUAUCCGGCGCGGGCGUAAGAGAUCUGAGAGGAGCUGUCCUAGUACGAGAGGACCGGGAUGGACGGACCACUGGUGUAUCUGUUGCACCACCAGGUGCACGGCAGAGUAGCCAAGUCCGGACGGGAUAAACGCUGAAGGCAUCUAAGCGUGAAGCCCCCCUCAAGAUGAGAUCUCUCAUUCGAAAGAAGUAAGACCCCUUGAAGACGACGAGGUAGAUAGGGCAGGGGUGGAAGGGCAGUAAUGUCCGGAGCUGACUGUUACUAAUCGGUCGAGGGCUUGAUCAA